This 220-nucleotide long non-coding RNA is filed under the name Elaeis guineensis (African oil palm). RNAcentral describes it as "long non-coding RNA (EGUI_LNC040363)". Lineage: Eukaryota; Viridiplantae; Streptophyta; Magnoliopsida; Arecales; Arecaceae. The record is from RNAcentral.
UCCACUUGUACCAAAAAAAAAGGUUGGCCAUAGCUAAUCUGAAGGAGUUGAACAUGAGAAUCUAGAUCAAUUGAUCUGAUUCAGUAAGCUUGCAAUCCUAGAAAGAUCAGACUCGGACCUCGGCCAUGGUCGAGGUAGGUAGGGGCCAACCACCUAUCUCGGCCACGACUGACCUAAAUAAGAUUAUUCAAAGAAGGCAGUAAUCCCAAUCUAGAAGGGA